UACGUAGGGCCCAAGCGUUGUCCGGAAUUAUUGGGCGUAAAGAGCUCGUAGGUCGUUUGUUACGUCGGAUGUGAAAACCUGAGGCUCAACCUCAGGCCUGCAUUCGAUACGGGCAAACUAGAGUUUGGUAGGGGAGACUGGAAUUCCUGGUGUAGCGGUGGAAUGCGCAGAUAUCAGGAGGAACACCAAUGGCGAAGGCAGGUCUCUGGGCCAAUACUGACACUGAGGAGCGAAAGUCUGGGGAGCGAACAGG
Molecule: ribosomal RNA, 253 nt
Filed under: uncultured bacterium
Lineage: Bacteria
Description: partial 16S ribosomal RNA
Rfam family: Bacterial small subunit ribosomal RNA
Source: RNAcentral